GGUCAGCGACUUAUAUUCUGUAGCAAGGUUAACCGAAUAGGGGAGCCGGAGGGAAACCGAGUCUUAAUUGGGCGUUAAGUUGCAGGGUAUAGACCCGAAACCCGGUGAUCUAGCCAUGGGCAGGUUGAAGGUUGGGUAACACUAACUGGAGGACCGAACCGACUAAUGUUGAAAAAUUAGCGGAUGACCUGUGGCUGGGGGUGAAAGGCCAAUCAAACCGGGAGAUAGCUGGUUCUCCCCGAAAGCUAUUUAGGUAGCGCCUCGUGAAUUCAUCUCCGGGGGUAGAGCACUGUUUCGGCUAGGGGGCCAUCCCGGCUUACCAACCCGAUGCAAACUGCGAAUACCGGAGAAUGUUAUCACGGGAGACACACGGCGGGUGCUAACGUCCGUCGUGAAGAGGGAAACAACCCAGACCGCCAGCUAAGGUCCCAAAGUCAUGGUUAAGUGGGAAACGAUGUGGGAAGGCCCAGACAGCCAGGAUGUUGGCUUAGAAGCAGCCAUCAUUUAAAGAAAGCGUAAUAGCUCACUGGUCGAGUCGGCCUGCGCGGAAGAUGUAACGGGGCUAAACCAUG
RNAcentral lists this ribosomal RNA (572 nucleotides) under Salmonella enterica subsp. enterica. RNAcentral describes it as "partial 23S ribosomal RNA". It matches the Rfam family "Bacterial large subunit ribosomal RNA", at positions 618 to 1191 of the family's 2925-position model. Lineage: Bacteria; Pseudomonadati; Pseudomonadota; Gammaproteobacteria; Enterobacterales; Enterobacteriaceae. The record is from RNAcentral.